This 878-nucleotide small RNA is filed under the name Pan troglodytes (chimpanzee). RNAcentral describes it as "processed transcript". Lineage: Eukaryota; Metazoa; Chordata; Mammalia; Primates; Hominidae. The record is from RNAcentral.
CGCCGCCGCUGUCGCCGCCACCUCCUCUGAUCUACGAAAGUCAUGUUACCCAACACCGGUUGAAGCAGUUGGAGGAAAGGCCUUGCCAUGUAUUGUUGAUGUGAGAGAUGAACAGCAGAUCAGUGCUGCAGUGGAGAAAGCCAUCAAGAAAUUUGGAGGAAUUGAUAUUCUGGUAAAUAAUGCCAGUGCCAUUAGUUUGACCAAUACAUUGGACACACCUACCAAGAGAUUGGAUCUGAUGAUGAACGUGAACACCAGAGGCACCUACCUUGCCUUAUACCAUUGCUAAGUAUGGUAUGUCUAUGUAUGUGCUUGGAAUGGCAGAAGAAUUUAAAGGUGAAAUCGCAGUCAAUGCAUUAUGGCCUAAAACAGCCAUACACACUGCUGCUAUGGAUAUGCUGGGAGGACCUGGUAUCGAAAGCCAGUGUAGAAAAGUUGAUAUCAUUGCAGAUGCAGCAUAUUCCAUUUUCCAAAAGCCAAAAAGUUUUACUGGCAACUUUGUCAUUGAUGAAAAUAUCUUAAAAGAAGAAGGAAUAGAAAAUUUUGACGUUUAUGCAAUUAAACCAGGUCAUCCUUUGCAACCAGAUUUCUUCUUAGAUGAAUACCCAGAAGCAGUUAGCAAGAAAGUGGAAUCAACUGGUGCUGUUCCAGAAUUCAAAGAAGAGAAACUGCAGCUGCAACCAAAACCACGUUCUGGAGCUGUGGAAGAAACAUUUAGAAUUGUUAAGGACUCUCUCAGUGAUGAUGUUGUCAAAGCCACUCAAGCAAUCUAUCUGUUUGAACUCUCCGGUGAAGAUGGUGGCACGUGGUUUCUUGAUCUGAAAAGCAAGGGUGGGAAUGUCGGAUAUGGAGAGCCUUCUGAUCAGGCAGAUGUGGUG